RNAcentral lists this ribosomal RNA (302 nucleotides) under Aurantiochytrium limacinum. Its description in RNAcentral is "partial Bacterial small subunit ribosomal RNA". It matches the Rfam family "Bacterial small subunit ribosomal RNA", at positions 1043 to 1347 of the family's 1533-position model. The record is from RNAcentral. Lineage: Eukaryota; Bigyra; Thraustochytrida; Thraustochytriidae.
GCAUGGCUGUCGUCAGCUCGUGUUGUGAAAUGUUGGGUUAAGUCCCGCAACGAGCGCAACCCCUAUUGUUAGUUGCCAUCAUUCAGUUGGGCACUCUAGCGAGACUGCCGGUAAUAAACCGGAGGAAGGUGGGGAUGACGUCAAGUCCUCAUGGCCCUUACGGGAUGGGCUACACACGUGCUACAAUGGCGGUGACAAUGGGCAGCGAAGGGGCGACCUGGAGCGAAUCCCCAAAAGCCGUCUCAGUUCGGAUUGCACUCUGCAACUCGGGUGCAUGAAGGUGGAAUCGCUAGUAAUCGCUG